This 1167-nucleotide long non-coding RNA is filed under the name Betta splendens (Siamese fighting fish). Its description in RNAcentral is "lncRNA (ENSBSLG00000001856.1)". Lineage: Eukaryota; Metazoa; Chordata; Actinopteri; Anabantiformes; Osphronemidae. The record is from RNAcentral.
AUGGCUACACAAAAAGACACAUCUCCAGUUGCGAUAUUGGGGAAGAAAUAUCCCCUCCUAGUAGCGGAGAUCCAGAAAUAUUCAAAAAAGUGGAAUAAGAGAACACGUAAAGCCACAUCACCCUGGCCAUCCGAUGGAACAUUCGACCGAGAGCAGUGUGCAGAGAUGGGAGUGUUAAUAAAAAAUUACAAAAUAAAAGAUAAAUCGGCCAAGCGCGCACAAAAGCGAGAGCGGGAGACUGCAAUGCUAAAACUAUUUACCGACCAGGCCAAAAUGUUGGGGGAGAAAACAGUGGAGCAUGUGAAAAAGCAGCUUGAGCUAAAGAAAAAAGAGAUGAAGAAGGGAGGGAAACCCCCUCCGUACGCUGCACAGAUGCCUGUUCGGGAAAUAAGACUGUUGGGGGACUACUCGCUUAGAUCUGGCAGAUCAGGUAAAAGCAUUUACCCGGUCGAGGAGUUAAAAAAGGUUAGGGAAAGAGAGAUAGAGCUAGAUGACCUAGAGGAGCUGCCCGCCACAUAUGCAAAAGCAGCGCAGCUUGCAGGGAAAGACACUCGCCGCAUUAGUGGAUUGCAUGAUAAAGUAAUGCAGGACAUCAAACAAUCAGAGUGUGCAGAGGACGGCAGCGAGGCCGAAGAGGAAUGUGACGGAGAGAGUGCAACUGGGGAAAGCGAGAGGGUCAGGAGGUCACUGGCAGAUGUGGAAUAUUCUAAGCUGCCAGAUCCAAGCAUGGUGUCGACCCCCCGCUAUUUGAAGGAGGGAGCCAAGCCCAAGCAGCCAGGAAUGAAGAAACGAGUGAGUGUGGCUGCAGCGUUUGCUCCCGGGAGUGAGGUGGAGGAAGAGCAUGGAAAGAUGAAUGGAAUCAUCACACUCAGCUCCCAGGGACAGCCAGUCCCUUCAGAAGUGGUGGAGGAAGCAUCAGAGUACCCCCUGCUGGCCAAAGGUGCAAAUCUGCAGUAUGUGCCCUGGCCAACCAUGGAUCUGGAGGGGCUGGUGCAAAGACUGCCUUGUCUGCAUGAUGGGGCAGGGAAGUGGAUUGCAGCUUUCGGAGAAGAGACCAUCGCCACUAUCCUGGCUAUGGGUGACCUCAAGGCCCUCCUGGGAAAAGUGCUGGGGAAACAGGAAAUGGAGGAAACGCUGAGAGCAGCACAGAUGAACGCGUAUGCUGGA